GGGGAUAUAGCUCAGUGGUAAAAGCACACGCUUAGCAUAUAUGAGGUCCUGGGUUCAGUCCCCAGUACCUCCA
Molecule: transfer RNA, 73 nt
Filed under: Camelus bactrianus (Bactrian camel)
Lineage: Eukaryota; Metazoa; Chordata; Mammalia; Artiodactyla; Camelidae
Also listed under: 1 other name
Rfam family: tRNA
About the family: Transfer RNA (tRNA) molecules are approximately 80 nucleotides in length. Their secondary structure includes four short double-helical elements and three loops (D, anti-codon, and T loops). Further hydrogen bonds mediate the characteristic L-shaped molecular structure. tRNAs have two regions of fundamental functional importance: the anti-codon, which is responsible for specific mRNA codon recognition, and the 3' end, to which the tRNAs corresponding amino acid is attached (by aminoacyl-tRNA synthetases). tRNAs cope with the degeneracy of the genetic code in two manners: having more than one tRNA (with a specific anti-codon) for a particular amino acid; and 'wobble' base-pairing, i.e. permitting non-standard base-pairing at the 3rd anti-codon position.
Source: Rfam by way of RNAcentral